GCCCUCGCUCUGGCAGUGCAUAUGCCAAAACGGGAACGUUUCAGGGAAGAUUAGCACGGACCCUGCUCAAGGAGGAUGUACAAAUUCAUGAAGCGUUCCACAUUUAA
Small nuclear RNA from Monodelphis domestica (gray short-tailed opossum), 107 nucleotides. The record is from Ensembl. Lineage: Eukaryota; Metazoa; Chordata; Mammalia; Didelphimorphia; Didelphidae.